Apodemus sylvaticus (European woodmouse) is the source of this 2226-nucleotide long non-coding RNA. RefSeq lists it as uncharacterized. The record is from RefSeq and is a predicted model, not a curated record. Lineage: Eukaryota; Metazoa; Chordata; Mammalia; Rodentia; Muridae. The transcript is spliced from 3 exons.
UCUCGACCAGUUGACACAAACUGAAAUAGAAGUAACUUGUCAAGAGUCUCACACCCAAGGCAAAUAAAGAAUCUCUGAGGUACCUGACCCCUGACAUUUUUGCUAUCAAAAUACUAAAGAACCAUUGGAGGGAUUGCCUAUUUCUCCUGGGAUAAAAGGAUCACAGAUGUGCCAGAGAGUCCUAGAGCUGACUACUGCAGCAGUGAGGAGAAUUUUGAAAUAGAGGAAGAAGAGUUUCCUAACUUCACUCCGCAUAACUCCAAACACUGUUUGCUAUUCUCGGUUCCUUGGACUCUGGUAUUUUAGAUUUGUCAUUUUUCAAAUAUGCCAUUUGGGAUUGUGACAGGAUCACCUGGAGAGUAUUGCUGCCUGCUGUCUAAUCAUGGAAUAAGCAACAUGCUAUCCCAUUUAUUAGGACUUCAACUUUUUAAAAAAGAUUUGCUUAUUUUACAUAUGAGAGCUGUACCUACAUGUUCACCUACACGCCAAAAGAGGGCAUCAGAUCCCAUUACAGAUGGUUGUGAGUCAACAUUUGGUUGCUGGGAAUCGAACUUAGGUCCCCUGAAAGAGCAGACAUUGCUCUUAACCACUGAGCCAUCUCUCUAGCUCAGGUCUUCAAUUUUUUUCAACAGAGCUUUUCAGUUUUCAGAAAUAUUAUUAGUACUUUGUAGAUUCUUAUUGUUACUGUUUUUGGAUGGCACUGUAAAUGAGAUGUUUCUGUUUGUUGUGCUUGAGGCUGGACCUGGAGCCUCCCACACCCUAUGGAGGGCUCGUUCUUCUUCUGCCCCUCAAGUGCUGGGAUUAAGGUAUGUGCCACCCUGUUUAACUUGGUUUCUUUUCGAUUUCUUCUUUGAAUCAACAGUCAAUCAUGAGUGUGUACUAGUAAAAUUUGUAUUGAUUCUAAUAUUUACUCUAUGGUAGACACUUAUAUAAUUUUAAUCCCUUUAAGUCUGCUUAGAUUUGUUACAUGGCCUGGUAUAUGAUGUGUCCUGGAGAAAGUUCUAUGCAUACUUGAGAAUAGUAAGUAUAAUGCUGUUGGUGAAGAAUGUUCUAUUGAUACCUGAUUGGUUUAGUUGAUUUACAGGGCUUUAAAAAUCUACCUGUUCUUGUUCACCUCUGGCUGGCUGCUGCACCCACUACUGAAAGUGGGCUGCUGUGGUGCCUGAUUUCUUCCUCUCCAAUGCUGUCAGCAUUUAACUUUGUGUGUUCUGAGCCCUGAUUUUAAGUCGGACUGACCAUCUUCUUUGACACACAGCACUUUAUAUGACCCUUCUCUGUCAUUGGCUCUCUCUGUACCAUUCAAUCUACCCAACAACAAUCAGCAAGAUGCUGACUUCUCCACAUUCUAUAUCUCGCACAAUUAACUUAAACUAAAACCUUUUACAUUGUGCAAGAAGAAGCCAGAAAUUUAAAAGCUUCAGAAAUACCUAGUUUUCUGACCACAGAGAGGGCAUAGUUUUAGCCCAUGUUGACAGCAGCUGUGAACAGGGGGCCAUGCAGAGAUGAGCUAGUUAGUUUUGGGCUCCCCCACAUUCUUAAUUCCGAGCAGGAAUUAUGUCCAACUUUCUCAUCUGGAAAGAGUAAAGGCACCUGGGCCCAAUAAACAGCAUCUACCAAUAAAGCUAAAAAAGCAGGAGGCAGACCCAACACAACUAAGGAACUUCCACAGUGGCUGGCUAAUGCUGGGAAAAACAGGGAUUGAGAAAGUCAUCCUUAGCAUGGGUAGACAAUUCUGGAGAACAUCCUGUAACUGUCCACUCAGACAUAUGCUUGUUCUAGGGCAUUUUAUUUUGGGGGAGGGAACAAGAAAGAGAAACCAAUCCUACAAUUUCCUCAACCCUCAAAAAAUAGCCUCGACGCUUGGUCUUAGUGGAGACAUCAGGCCCCAGAGAAGAGGGAUGCUAGAAGUGGAAGGGGGGAGUGGAACACUCUCUUAGAGGCAAAGGAGAGGAGGAGGAGGGAACAGGGGGUUUGUAGAAGGAAGACCCGGAAGAGGGACAACAUUUGAAAUAUAAACAAAUAAAAUGAUUAAUCAAAGAAAAAAAUAAGCUUCAUCCCCACCAAGAACCUCAGAGGGCUGGAAAUAACUUCUCAUACAAUCUUGAGGAAAUGGCAAGGACUGUGAGGGUGUCCUAACCUCCAUCUCUUCUCCAUCCACUCCUCAGAGUUCAGCUUGCUGCAUGAGGCACUUACGGAAAUUACAGCAAGCCAUGUAUUUAUACUCAU